UGGGGAAUAUUGGACAAUGGGCGCAAGCCUGAUCCAGCCAUGCCGCGUGAGUGAUGAAGGCCCUAGGGUUGUAAAGCUCUUUCACCGGUGAAGAUAAUGACGGUAACCGGAGAAGAAGCCCCGGCUAACUUCGUGCCAGCAGCCGCGGUAAUACGAAGGGGGCUAGCGUUGUUCGGAUUUACUGGGCGUAAAGCGCACGUAGGCGGACUUUUAAGUCAGGGGUGAAAUCCCGGGGCUCAACCCCGGAACUGCCUUUGAUACUGGAAGUCUUGAGUAUAGUAGAGGUGAGUGGAAUUCCGAGUGUAGAGGUGAAAUUCGUAGAUAUUCGGAGGAACACCAGUGGCGAAGGCGGCUCACUGGACCAUUACUGACGCUGGGGUGCGAAAGCGUGGGGAGCAAACAGG
RNAcentral lists this ribosomal RNA (404 nucleotides) under Actinomycetes bacterium. RNAcentral's name for it is "Actinobacteria bacterium partial 16S ribosomal RNA". It matches the Rfam family "Bacterial small subunit ribosomal RNA", at positions 355 to 776 of the family's 1533-position model. The record is from RNAcentral. Lineage: Bacteria; Bacillati; Actinomycetota; Actinomycetes.